AUGAGGCACAUACAAAUUCCCCCGUGUGUACGUCACUUUUCUAUAAUCAUAGAUAACACGGAUGUAGAGGACAGGGUGUCCUUUGAACACUGCAAUGAAAAUUUGAGUGCACUAGAUAAACGGCUGAAAGUUGAACACCUACGCACUUUAAUGUUAUUUGGUGAUUACCAUGGAAGCUUUGUCAAAAAUUUUGGUGGAUUGUUAAGGGAAGCUACGGCCCUUCGUGUUAUAUUUUUGUCCGAAGCAUCAUAUAAUUUGGAGGACAUAUUGCAUAACUUUUCAAAACUUGUCCAUCUUCACUACCUAAGGAUCAAGUCGUCGUUGUAUUGCCAGGACUUGUGCUUACCAAGUGCAUUGUUUAGAUUGUAUCAUUUAGAGAUUAUUGAUCUGCAAAGUGUGCAAUGCCGUGUUAGUUCAACUAGAAAUAUUAGCAACCUUGUAAAGCUACAUCAUUUUUUGCUGCCAAAAAACAUGCUUCAAUUUCAUUCUGACAUUUAUGGGGUGGGAAAACUAAAAUUCCUUCAGGAAUUAAGAAAUUUUAAUGUGGGAAAGGAGAGUGAUGGUUUUGAACUGAGUCAGCUCGGGCCACUGACAGAGCUUGGGGGAUCACUUGGCAUUUAUAAUCUCGAAAAUGUGCAAACAGAAGAGGAAGCAAAUGAAUCGAAAUUGUUGCGCAAGAACCACUUAAGAGAACUCAUACUACAAUGGGGUAGUUGGCCAUCUAAUAAUGAUCCUGUAAAAGAAGACAAUGUUCUUAGAAGUCUUGUACCACAUAGCAAUCUUCAAGACUUGUGCAUUAGAGGACAUGGAGGCACCAAUUGCCCAGCAUGGCUAUGUGAGAAUCUCUCAGUUAAAUGCUUGGAAUCUCUUUGUCUUGAUAAUGUAUCUUGGAAGAAUCUUCCACCUCUGGGAGAGAUGUGGAUGGUUAAUGAGCACGGUGAAGAGUAUCAGUGUUGUAGUAUCUCGUCUCCAGGCUUCCAUAAUUUGAAAAGGCUACAAUUAAGUAACAUAUAUAGGUUGAAAAAAUGGGUUGGAAAUGACAAUUGUUCUUUAUUUUCUCACUUGGAAGUUCUCAUCAUUAAAGAUUGCUCUGAACUCAUGGAGUUACCGUUUUCACAUCCUACUUGCUCUCAAGCACAGCAGGAGAAGAAAAUGGCUUGGUUUCCUAGACUACGGGAGCUUGUCAUUUUUUACUGCCCGAAACUAGUGUCUAUGCCUUCUAUCCCUUGGUGGACUGGUGCUCCGUGCUCUGCUCAGCUAGAAAGAGUGGGAACUGGUAUUGAGCAGCUGGUUUACCCAAGCUAUGGAAAAGAAUUUAGCUUGGGCAUUGAGGGAAAAGGUGGUGAGGGCGAUGAGUUCUGGAGUGGGUUGAAUUUCUCUAACCUAACUGACCUAGAAAAGUUUCAUAUGAAAAUAAUCCCUUUCCUGUCGCUGGAUAAACUCCGAGUGCUAACAUCUCUGAAGAAGAUCGAUAUAGAGGGUGUGAGCAGUGUCUUGCCGCCGGUUGAUUGGGAUUGGUAUCAUGGCAUGUACAGGUUUCCAGUUGAAGUUCUCCACAUCAGCAGGUGUGAUGCUAGUGGGAAAGAACUGACACUGCUUCUAUCUUUCCUUCCCAACCUCUCAGAGUUGUUUAUAAGCGAGUGCAAGAUUAUAACUGGGUUGGGUGUGGUGGAGGAUGCGGAAACUGUUUCUAGAGAGCAGGAGCAGCAGACAAGAGUCGGAGAGGAGGAAAUAAUAAUAGCAGCGGCAGCACAAGGACUUCUCUUCUUGCCUUCCCAGCUACAGGAGUUGAUGAUUUAUAAUUGCUCAAAUGUGAGCUUACUCGCCAAUUCAUCGCAUGACAACCACACAGAAGCAGGAGGGGGGCUCCAACGUCUUCGCUGCCUCCGCUCGUUGUGGAUAGACAAGUGCCCCGAGUUCCUGUCCUCUUAUUCAUCCUCGCUGAUCUCCUCUUUUCUCCCUUUCCCGACCUGUCUGCAAGACCUCGACUUAUUGGACGUGAAGCACAUGGAGACUCUGCAACCUCUCUCAAACCUCACCUCUCUCACCGGAUUAAUGUUGAGAAUAUUGGGAGGUUCGACAGAAGAGGGCUUAUGGCCCCUCCUCGCCCACGGCCACCUCACAAAAUUACACCUUUAUGCUGACUCCGAUUUCUUUGCUGGUUUCGACCCCUCACGGCCGCAUGACAAAGAGGUUUUUGCCUGUUCCUCCAAGCUCUUCUAUCUAUGUACGGAGAUCAACACAGGAUUCCUUGCUGCGCCCAUCUGCAGCCUCCUCUCUUCCACCCUCACCAAACUAUACCUCAGUUUCGGCACAGAGAUGGAGCGCUUGACAAAGGAGCAAGAGGAGGCUCUUCAACUCCUCACCUCCCUCCAAGAGCUCGAAUUUUCGUGUGGAUUCAAUCUGCAACGCCUACCUGCAGGGCUACACAACCUUAUCAACCUCGAGAAAUUACAGGUCGAAAGUUGUGAUGACAUCAAGUCGCUGCCCAGCCUUCCGAGCUCUUUGCAGGAAUUAGUGAUGGAACAUUGUCAUGCCACCAAGUCGCUGCCAAAUGCCCUCCCAAUUUCUCUGGAAAUAUUGAGGAUCUGCCACUGCGAUGCCAUCAAGUCGCUCCCCAAGAAUGGCCUUCCUAGUUUAAUGCUAGAGUUAGAUGUCCUUGAGGGCAACAGCGAGGAGCUAAAAAGGGCAUGCCACAAGCUAAUAGGAACCAUUCCAAUUGUCAGAGCCUGA
This 2733-nucleotide ribosomal RNA is filed under the name Triticum aestivum (bread wheat). RNAcentral's name for it is "partial small subunit ribosomal RNA". The record is from RNAcentral. Lineage: Eukaryota; Viridiplantae; Streptophyta; Magnoliopsida; Poales; Poaceae.